GAUGAACGCUGGCGGCGUGCUUAACACAUGCAAGUCGAACGGAAAGGCCCAAGCUUGCUUGGGUACUCGAGUGGCGAACGGGUGAGUAACACGUGGGUGAUCUGCCCUGCACUUCGGGAUAAGCCUGGGAAACUGGGUCUAAUACCGGAUAGGACGAUGGUUUGGAUGCCAUUGUGGAGAGUUUUUUCGGUGUGGGAUGAGCUCGCGGCCUUUCCGCUUGUUGGUGGGGGAAUGGCCUACCCAGGCGUCGACGGGGAGCCGGCCUGAGAGGGGGUACGGCCACAUUUGGGCUGAGAUACGGCCCAGACUCCGACGGGGGGCAGCAGUGGGGAAUAUUUCACAAUGGGGGCGAGCCUGAUGCAGCGACGCCGCGUGGGGGAUGACGGCCUUCGGGUUGUAAACUCCUUUCGCUAGGGACGAAGCGUUUUUGUGACGGUACCUGGAGAAGAAGCACCGGCUAACUACGUG
This 468-nucleotide ribosomal RNA is filed under the name uncultured bacterium. RNAcentral's name for it is "partial 16S ribosomal RNA". It matches the Rfam family "Bacterial small subunit ribosomal RNA", at positions 28 to 507 of the family's 1533-position model. The record is from RNAcentral.